This 253-nucleotide ribosomal RNA is filed under the name uncultured bacterium. Its description in RNAcentral is "partial 16S ribosomal RNA". It matches the Rfam family "Bacterial small subunit ribosomal RNA", at positions 524 to 776 of the family's 1533-position model. The record is from RNAcentral.
UACGUAGGGUGCGAGCGUUAAUCGGAAUUACUGGGCGUAAAGUGUGCGCAGGCGGUUUCGCAAGUCAAGUGUGAAAGCCCCGGGCUCAACCCGGGAACUGCUUUUGAAACUGCCGAGCUAGAGUGCGGAAGGGGCAACUGGAAUUCCCAGUGUAGCGGUGAAAUGCGUAGAUAUUGGGAAGAACACCUGAGGCGAAGGCGGGUUGCUGGGCCGACACUGACGCUGAGGCGCGAAAGCCAGGGGAGCGAACGGG